AUAUAUCUAGGCAAAUUGCCUAGAAGUGAAUCCCCUCUCCUGCUUAAGUCCUUCCCACAGAGAGCGGUUUGAUAUGUCACUGAAACCAGCAUCCAGGUGGUAUUGCUCCAUAUGCCUGAGACCCUAACAAAAGCCUAAUUACAACUCAUAUGCCUGGAGCCAGGACAUGUGCAGGAUGACUCUGCCAAGAGAGGGGAUUAUUACAUAUUGCAGAGCCCAGCACCUAGGUGGAGUGACUCUCAUCUUUUUCUUCUACCCCGUAUAUAGCCAGCUUGGUGACCUACUAUUUGAGUCUAUACCCAGGCCCAGACCACAGAUGAAAUUGUGCAAUAUGUGGAACAAACACCUAAACAAUAUAUAACACCUUCCUUGGCUCUGUCUACAAAGGGCACUUUUAUAUAUCACUGGGACCAUCAACCAGGGUCCUGCGUACUAGGUGGAUUGUGACAUCUCACUGGACCCGCAACCAUGUAGGUCAUGUGACUUUCAUGCCUUCUCACUGGCCACAGGUGAUGUUGUGCCAUAUAACUGAGACCGUAUCAAAAGCCUAAUAACAAGACGUAUGUCUGGAGCCCCGAUAUGCACAGGAUGGUGAUAUAACCCUCUUCUCUGGAAUGGGCCCCACACAAAGGAAGGAUAGUGACAUAUUGCAAGCCCAGGCACACAGGCCCAGAGCACAGUUGAAAUUGUGACAUAUGUACACCAAGCAACCAAGCAAUGUAUAACACCUCAUUUGGCAAUGGAAUCGAGGGCACUUUUACAUAUCACUGAGACCAGCGCCCAGCUGAUGUGAAAUAUUGGCCUGAACCCUGCCUACAAAAGCAUUGUGGCUUUUAUCUAGCUCCAUUACAUAAGUGAUGUGACUUCCUUCUACUGCCUUGGCCCUGCACUUAUGGUGAAUCGUGACACAAAAUUGGGUAGAGCAACCAGCCUGGGCCCUGACCAGCACAGAGAUUGAGGCAUAUUGCUGAACCCAGGACCAAGAUGAAGUCACUCUCCUGCCUUGAUCCUGCACACAGGGACCCUUGUGACAUAUAUACAGGCCAAUUGCCUAGGUGAUGUUGUGCAAUAUACCUGAGACCAGAUCAAUGGCCUAAUAAUGACUCUUUUACCUAGAGCCAGGACAUGUGCAGGAUGGUAACUCUCAUCCCUGAACCUUUCCACAGGUGUUAUUGUCACAUAUACCUUUUCCAGCUCCAAAGUGAUUUAAUAAUCCAGCCUAGUUAUAGCCCACAGAUAAUAUUUGGACAUAUACCUGAGUCAAGAACCUUGGUGAUUU
Molecule: long non-coding RNA, 1279 nt
Filed under: Homo sapiens (human)
Lineage: Eukaryota; Metazoa; Chordata; Mammalia; Primates; Hominidae
Description: long intergenic non-protein coding RNA 293
Source: RNAcentral